UUGUGUAUGUUUUCUCUUUCACUGUCACUGAGUAGCCCUCAAGAUGCCUUCGCUAAGGGGAUUGCUGCCCCCUGUCCAUUUGGGGGAUAAACUGCAUUCCCUGAGAACAGUUCCUUCUUGAUCACCUGAAUGAACUGGCUGGUCCUGUCCUCCACACGCACUCGAAUGAACCCUGCUUGCUCAAUCAUCUAAUAAAAAACAGACUUGCAUAGCUAUACUAAGAAAUUAUAACUUGGUAUUUCAUGAUUUAUGUAUAUCAACCAAAUAUUAUGUGAAUAAUAUGCAGCUUCUAAUGAAAAAAAAAUGUUAUACUGCCACAUU
Paramormyrops kingsleyae is the source of this 321-nucleotide long non-coding RNA. RefSeq lists it as uncharacterized. Lineage: Eukaryota; Metazoa; Chordata; Actinopteri; Osteoglossiformes; Mormyridae. The record is from RefSeq and is a predicted model, not a curated record.